Branchiostoma floridae (Florida lancelet) is the source of this 278-nucleotide long non-coding RNA. RefSeq lists it as uncharacterized. The record is from RefSeq and is a predicted model, not a curated record. The transcript has 3 exons. Lineage: Eukaryota; Metazoa; Chordata; Leptocardii; Amphioxiformes; Branchiostomatidae.
GGAGUGGAAAUGGACUGAAAGUCAUCGUUGACAUUGAAGAAGACCAAUACACCGAAAGUUUUUCCGUUGGUGGGAAUUCUGAAGUCGGACUGAAACUCCUGGUGCACGAUCCGAGGGAACCUCCCAUGAUUGACACCCAAGGAAUUGCCCUCGCGCCGGGCAACAGCGCUUUCAUUGCCGUCAAGCAGACAUUGUACGAGAACCACGUGCCUCCGUGGGGGGUCUGCCAGGACCUACAGCUGGAGUAUUACGACACCUACACGCUGAACGGCUGCUAU